RNAcentral lists this small RNA (86 nucleotides) under Xanthomonas oryzae pv. oryzae. RNAcentral describes it as "sX9 sRNA". It matches the Rfam family "Xanthomonas sRNA sX9". Lineage: Bacteria; Pseudomonadati; Pseudomonadota; Gammaproteobacteria; Lysobacterales; Lysobacteraceae. The record is from RNAcentral.
AUGUACCCCCCCCCCNCCCCGUCCACUGCGGUUCUGAGCGCGCCGUCCGCGCCCACCUGACAGCUGCUCGCGACGUUGUGUUAACC